GGCUGUAGCUCAGUGGCAGAGCACUUGCUUCUCAGGUGUGAAGCACUGGGUUCGAUCCUCAGCACCA
RNAcentral lists this transfer RNA (67 nucleotides) under Marmota monax (woodchuck). RNAcentral's name for it is "tRNA.Glu". Lineage: Eukaryota; Metazoa; Chordata; Mammalia; Rodentia; Sciuridae. The record is from RNAcentral.